AAAGCGUGUGUAGGCGGCUAUGUAAGUCGGAUGUGAAAGCCCUGGGCUCAACCCAGGAAGUGCACUCGAUACUGCGUAGCUUGAGUACCGGAGAGGUUGGUAGAAUUCUCGGUGUAGAGGUGAAAUUCGUAGAUAUCGAGAGGAAUACCGGUGGCGAAGGCGGCCAACUGGACGAGUACUGACGCUGAGACACGAAAGCGUGGGGAGCAAACAGGAUUAGAUACCCUUGU
RNAcentral lists this ribosomal RNA (230 nucleotides) under uncultured bacterium. RNAcentral describes it as "partial 16S ribosomal RNA". It matches the Rfam family "Bacterial small subunit ribosomal RNA", at positions 562 to 791 of the family's 1533-position model. The record is from RNAcentral.